CAGGACGAACGCUGGCGGCGUGCUUAACACAUGCAAGUCGAGCGAUGAAGCUUCUUCGGGAGUGGAUUAGCGGCGGACGGGUGAGUAACACGUGGGUAACCUGCCUCAUAGAGGGGAAUAGCCUUUCGAAAGGAAGAUUAAUACCGCAUAAGAUUGUAGUACCGCAUGGUACAGCAAUUAAAGGAGUAAUCCGCUAUGAGAUGGACCCGCGUCGCAUUAGCUAGUUGGUGAGGUAACGGCUCACCAAGGCGACGAUGCGUAGCCGACCUGAGAGGGUGAUCGGCCACAUUGGGACUGAGACACGGCCCAGACUCCUACGGGAGGCAGCAGGUGGGGAAUAUUGCACAAUGGGGGAAACCCUGAAUGCAGCAACGCCGCGUGAGUGAUGACGGCCUUCGGGUUGUAAAACUCUGUCUUUGGGGACGAUAAUGACGGUACCCAAGGAGGAAGCCACGGCUAACUACGUGCCAGCCGCCGC
Molecule: ribosomal RNA, 478 nt
Filed under: uncultured bacterium
Lineage: Bacteria
Description: bacterial SSU rRNA
Rfam family: Bacterial small subunit ribosomal RNA
Source: RNAcentral